Molecule: long non-coding RNA, 1269 nt
Organism: Armigeres subalbatus
Lineage: Eukaryota; Metazoa; Arthropoda; Insecta; Diptera; Culicidae
Exons: 3
Source: RefSeq, a predicted model, not a curated record
AAGCUUAGUAUGCAGUUCUCAAGGAAAAUGGUCAAGGAAAAUUUGAUCAAAUUACCAAAGUAAUUUGGACGGAAAUGCAGUCGAUAAAGUAGGCGAAUUCUCGUCUGUCAUCAAGCAGCUCAUUUCGUCGUAGGUGUUGUAAUGCUUGACUACCUCUCAGGGUCGUGGACUGACCAACCAGGUGGAAAUAAUCGGGUUGAUCGGAACUUAUCGUCGUCCUUGAGGAACUACGUGGACGACGUGCCGAUCGAGACACAUCGGACGGGUGCAGUGACCGUUCGGGUCGAGGCAGAAGAGAAGGAGCCUAGCUUCCUCACUCUCCCGUUCCUUGCUGGGAUGGUUGUUAACAGAAUUGCUCGUCGUGUGUGCCAUGGCGCCUUAAUCAAAAUGCCCUUUAUGUCCACAUGGAAGAUUAUUUCGAUAUGGCGCCGAAGACUCCUUCAAUGGGCGAGGAAACGGGUGGCUCCAGAGCCCAAACAGGGUUUGAUUCCGUGGAUGUGUAGAAAGGACCAGUUCAGAUGCUACACUGCAGAUAACUCUAUAAUAUCUUACUAGCGGAAUUAUACUUCUAGUACUGUAUGCUCAAGAUACUGCUCCAAUUGCUCGAGAUCCACUUCAUCGUGCGAUGUUUUGCCACUAGUUCUGCCUCCCCGUUCAUACGUUCUUAUUUGCGUCGUUCAAUGGGUUAGGCCAUUAAUGGAAGUUCAUUUUUUUUACUUAAAUUAUAGCUAUCAUUAUGUGCCUAUGAUGGUCUCAACAGAAUCGGAAUCGUCUCCAAAGUUUCAAAAUGUUUUAUAGAAGUUCCUGGGUUUUAUAAUGGGCUUGGGAAGUCUUAUGGUCGAUCUUUAACUCUGUGGUUGAACCUGGGCCAAUCUUAGCAUUUCAUCAGUUUUAAUUAUGUCAGAUUAAAAGAUUAUGUCGAGAUUAAACGAAAAAUCUAAUUAAAGCGUAUAAGUAAGCAAGUUUGAGAGUGAAGCGAAAAUGAUAAAAUGGUCCGCAAGUCGUCUUGAAGCCUUAAAGGCAUAGCAUAACUAUAAUUGUAUGGGUAUAGCUAUAAGAUUCAAUUUUCGGUGGCAAAAUAAAGCUUUAUCACGCCUAAUCCCUAACUAUUAGAAAAAAUUAUCGAGAAUAAAGCCAAUGAAAGAUUGUAUGCAUACCAUUGUUAUAAUUUGUGGUGUUUUUAGUUAUGCCUCAUUUGAGUGAGACAUAACAAAAUAAUACAGGCGUCACGUUCCUAGUUUUAAUAAAACUUUUACUCAGUGAAUCUAA